Long non-coding RNA from Humulus lupulus (European hop), 2014 nucleotides. RefSeq lists it as uncharacterized. The transcript is spliced from 2 exons. Lineage: Eukaryota; Viridiplantae; Streptophyta; Magnoliopsida; Rosales; Cannabaceae. The record is from RefSeq and is a predicted model, not a curated record.
UUAUAUUUUGGGGUUUGUGUGAUUAGAAUUCGAGUUUAGGCUAUUUUUUGGGUAGUUGUUGGGAGGCUCGUGGUUGCAUACAUGUCUGACGUCUUGAUGAGUUUGGGAUUGUGGUUCUUUGUGGCUUGUGAGUAUAAUGGAUUGUGUUGACUUUUUGUGGUGUUGUUGGAGUUUGUUUUUGUUAGACAGUAGUUAAUGAGUAUUAAGCGUUAAUUACUUUAUGUUAAUUUAGUUGUACUUGGAAUUUCUGUUAUUGGGCCUCUCGGAUAUUUAGGGUCUGUUUUUACUGUGUUAGCUCAUAAUAUAUAAGUGAGCUUGUACUCUAUGUCAAUUGAGGAAUACAAUUACAUUUUACAUUUUCCUCCCAAAAUCUGUCUUUAAUGGUAUCAGCGCACAAACAACUCCUACAUGGCGUCGGUACAUAGCACUACCUCUCCACCUGAGAAAUCACAACCUGUUACUCCAUUUCGGGCAGAAUCGACUACUUCUCUGUUGGUCACUCCGAUGGCAUCAACGAUUACAGAGCUUCCUACGCUCCCUAGCCUCCUUUCGGUCAAUCAACCGUUAGCUGUCAAGCUGGAUGAUAAAAAAAAAAAUUGGUCUAGAAAAUUCAAUUAUUGAACAUUGUUAUUACCAAUGGUCUUGAGGAUAUCCUGGAUGGAUCUCGUCCUUCCCCCUCUCGUCUGACUACUUCUCAACCUUCCCAAGUGAAUACUGAUUAUACCACUUGGCAGAGGUACAAUCGACUUCUUAUGUCUUGGAUUUAUGCUUCUGUCUCUGAAAACAUGCUCGACCAACUGGUUGGUUUUGCUAAUGCAUCUGAAAUUUGGUCUGCUUUGGAACAACUUUAUUCGGUUGUUCCAUUUUCUCACAUCUCUAAAAUUCGCACCUCGCUACAAACAAUUAAGAAAGAGGGUCUUACCUCCAUUGCUUAUGUCCAGAAGUUUCGGAGCAUUUGCAAUACUCUUGCUGCAAUUGGAGAGCCUCUAAGUUACACAGAUCAUCUUCAUUAUUUUCUAAAUGGGUUGGGGCCCGAAUACAACGCAUUCGUUACCUCUCUGCAAAACAGAUCUGAUCGACCUUCUAUGGAGGUUGUACACAGUCUAUUGCUUACUCAAGAUGCUCGUCUUGAACACCAAACAACUGCUGCAACCUUGAGCUCCUUCAAGCUAAUAUAGCAAAUUUGAAUCUGCCCAAACCGAAGCCCAGAUUAUCUUCUCCUGCUAGCUCCCCACCCUCGAUGUCAUUUUCUGCUCCUGGCAAUUUUUCACGGCCUCGGGGACCACCACCUUCUUUGUACUCUCAGCAACAACCUUCGUGGUCCCCUUCCUUUCGGCCUCCAACCAGACCUUGGUGUCAGAUUUGUUUGAAGCCAGGACAUAUGGCUGACAGAUGUUAUCAUCGAGCGAAUUUGUAGUAUCAUCCACCUUCCCCUGCACCCAGGAACUUCAAUACGUAUAUUCUCCCACCUGGAUCUCUUCCUCAAUCUGUUCAAGCCACUGCUGCUUCUGUUCUCGAUCCGGUGUGGUAUACGGACUGAGGUGCUUCCUAUCACUUCACUCCAGAUCUCAACAUGUUAGACUCGGCUGUAACAUACACUGGUAAUGAGAAAGUGACUGUGGGAAAUGGAAAGCAAGCACCCAUUACUCAUGUCGGUCAAAAACUAGGUUCUUCUGCGGGGACAGCUUGAUAAUGGUCUGUACCGAGUCAGCCCCUUCUCUUUUAGCAGUGCUGCCUCUUCUCCUCAAGUCCAUGUUGCUACAAGCAAUCCUUCUCAUCUAUGGAAUUUUAUUUUGGGUUAUCCGAGCAAAGAUGUCGUUAAAUCUGUCUUGUCAUUAUGUAAUUCGACAUCUACUUCUUAUUAUAGUUCCGACCGUAAUGCCUGUCAGUUGGCUAAAUAAAAUAGAUUGCCCUUUGUGUUAUCUAACUCUCGUGCUCCUUCAAUGUUUGAAUUAAUACAUACAGAUUUAUGGGGUACUUCCAAUGUUAAUUCCAUUACUGGUGUUCGGUAUUU